Molecule: long non-coding RNA, 301 nt
Organism: Anopheles stephensi (Asian malaria mosquito)
Lineage: Eukaryota; Metazoa; Arthropoda; Insecta; Diptera; Culicidae
Exons: 2
Source: RefSeq, a predicted model, not a curated record
CAUAUAACCUUCAAAGCUCAGCACUGCUGCCAGACAAAUCGAAACAAGCAACGGAGAUGGCAUCCAAAAUCAUGGGAAAACUUUUGUACCUUACUCUUCUAGCGCUCAUUAUAGCUGCUAUCGCUCACGUAAGAGCUUAUGCUCCAUCUACAACAUUUCCUCCUCUCGAACUUACAACCGAGCGUCCUAUCUGUGUGGGCGAAGAAUGUCACGAAGAUGAUCACUUACCGUAGAAUGUUGCUUAAAUAAAAUAGAUCAGCAAAAUACUGUCACUCAUGCAAGAGCUGAUCCUGCCACAGAA